Molecule: long non-coding RNA, 505 nt
Organism: Diceros bicornis minor
Lineage: Eukaryota; Metazoa; Chordata; Mammalia; Perissodactyla; Rhinocerotidae
Exons: 6
Source: RefSeq, a predicted model, not a curated record
AAAUGGCCAUAAGGUCCCUUCAAGUCAUUUCUCGUCCAUGGUUAGUAACCAAAAAGUGAUUUCCAAACUGGCUGAUUAUCAGACCUUUGAGGAACUUUUAAAACGUACAACUUUCUGUUCCUGUUGAAUCAGAAUCACCAUAGUGGAUCCCUGGAGUUAAUAAUUUUAAGCAAGUUUUUCAGAUAGGUAAGAAGAGGAUCAUAUGAAUGAGCACAAGUAAAAAUGCUCUGAAAGCUUGAAAGGCUAAAGAAAUAUAAGGGUACAAGAAGGCAUAUUUAAUGAGGCAAAUGGAAUCAGGAGCCUAAAGGGAGCUCAGAGUGCCUUAUGGAUGUUAUCUCAUGAAUCCUCCUGACAUCCCUGUGAGACCAGGAGCAAAUACUCUUCUAUCCUAGAGUAGCAGGAGAGAAAAUAAGUGAAGAUAACGUGAAGCAGUGUAGCCAGCUUGUGAUGGACAUCCUCCUUCAUGCCUGGGGCUGGCCAAGUGAUCCACAUCAGGCCAAUGACU